Molecule: long non-coding RNA, 1594 nt
Organism: Gasterosteus aculeatus aculeatus (three-spined stickleback)
Lineage: Eukaryota; Metazoa; Chordata; Actinopteri; Perciformes; Gasterosteidae
Source: Ensembl
GCUUUAGUGAACAAAACAUUGUUUCUAUUGGUCCCAUUUUAAAAAGAAUAGUUCUGUCUAUUUUUUUACUCAGUAGAGUCUGCCACAGCCCUGACGGUGGCGCACUUGGGAAAACACCGAGAUUAUAACAAAGAAACCCAUCCGAAUCCACCUGGUGCCAGCCGACCCGACGCCCGCCACGAUCGCUUCAUUUCUUACGUUAGUCCCCGGUUCGGCCCAAUGGAAAGAGAAACGACGCGGUUCUGUGGUGCUGGAUCGCAACGAAUCCCACAGCGGCAAAUUGCUCCAACAGAUGGAGUAAAGGAAGCCACAACAGACUGCGCGGAGCUGGACAGGACAUUCAUACUGCCUCAGAAUGUAAGGAAGCUGUGAAAAAGGCGUCCGUCCGGGUCACAGCGAUCUGCAUGGCGGGUUUCAAAAAGGCGAGGAGGGAGGAACUCCCUCGACGAAUGUGAGGUCGAGCCAACGCUCCUCAGCACAAACGAGCUACCAAUCAGCGAGGGUUCCCCCGUCCACGCCAGGGAUGCAUGUCAGACAUACAGAGCGCAACCUAUUGACAUAUUUGUUUUCAAAAUUACAUGAAGCCUGAACAUCGGCACGGCCGAGGUUUUGUUUUUUUCCCACAACGCGGGAGGAGAAGGAUCGAUGGGCCGGCUUGUUUUAAUCAAGGCCUUCAGCUCCGAGUGUAGAAACAUGUUUCACAGCCAGCGAGUGAUUUUACCACAAAUAUCGGGCCAGCUCCUCACUCCGCUUCUCCCCAUCGUUUCAGAAAAAUCACGUACUGUGCGCUUACUCUAAAGCGGAGGGCUCUGACUCUCCUCUCGAGUCAUGUUUUUACUUUUCUAUUCACAAGAGCUAAGGCACUGUCGCUGUCUGUGCGUGUCAAUACAAAGAAAGAAUUCCCAACUCUCCCAUUGGGCCCCCGGCUGGAUGGAGACCGGCUGCGUGACGCCGAUCGGCCGCUUCAUUUGCUUAGUUCGCCUCCGGCGCCGCGAGCAAUUAUGGAAAAAAUAGAUCCUUUGUUCCCAGAGAGUCGAUUAAGAAUGAAAUAUAUAGAUAUAAAUAAUACAUAUAAAUAUAUAUAUAUAUACACAAAAAUAUCAUAGUUUCUAGCGUAGAGGGGGUUGUGUACGAUUUUUUUUUUCUCGUGGGGGGGGAGUCACAUGUGGGCACACACUGGUCUGUUCAUCGAAGCUGACUUACAAUCACAAUCCAUACCUACCAUGAAGGAAACCUGACUCGAGUUGUGUUGUCGCCAUAAAAAUGAAGAGUUUGUACUUUGUGACUCUUAAACUUUUUAUAUUUGUGUUUAAUAUAUCAAUGAGUACCUCUGUUGACUUUUGUAUAAGACCUAUAGUAUAUACAAACACACAUACACACACAACACACCUCCACAAGUCUGUCUCUGUGACGGCUAAAUGUUGUGUGACUUUUAUUUUUGUGUCUUAUGAACCACAUCUCUUCCUUUUGUAGUUAUUGGUAAACGUUUCGAUUUCCAGGUGACUAUGAUUUGGUUACUCUUGUACUACUAAGCUCUGUAUUUGCAAGCACUGUAAAUGCGAUUCUCAUUGGAUUCGUCCUCUGUACAUUUAGU